Molecule: ribosomal RNA, 450 nt
Filed under: uncultured bacterium
Lineage: Bacteria
Description: partial 16S ribosomal RNA
Rfam family: Bacterial small subunit ribosomal RNA
Source: RNAcentral
GUGGGGAAUAUUGGACAAUGGGCGAAAGCCUGAUCCAGCCAUGUCGCGUGUGUGAAGAAGGUCUUCGGAUUGUAAAGCACUUUAAGUUGGGAGGAAGGGCAGUAAGUUAAUACCUUGCUGUUUUGACGUUACCGACAGAAUAAGCACCGGCUAACUUCGUGCCAGCAGCCGCGGUAAUACGAAGGGUGCAAGCGUUAAUCGGAAUUACUGGGCGUAAAGCGCGCGUAGGUGGUUUUGUAAGUUGGAGGUGAAAUCCCCGGGCUCAACCUGGGAACUGCCUCCAAAACUGCAUGACUAGAGUAUGGUAGAGGGUAGUGGAAUUUCCUGUGUAGCGGUGAAAUGCGUAGAUAUAGGAAGGAACACCAGUGGCGAAGGCGACUACCUGGACUGAUACUGACACUGAGGUGCGAAAGCGUGGGGAGCAAACAGGAUUAGAUACCCCGGUAGUCC